Amborella trichopoda is the source of this 860-nucleotide non-coding RNA. The record is from RefSeq and is a predicted model, not a curated record. Lineage: Eukaryota; Viridiplantae; Streptophyta; Magnoliopsida; Amborellales; Amborellaceae.
CCUUGAGAGAGGGUAUAAUCUCUCACCCUUUGUUUUAUUUUUAUUAUAAUAAUUAUUUUUCUCCCUGCAUCACAGGGACUCAAGAACUCAUGGUUGUAUGUCAAUUCUUUUUCUUUUCUCAUAAACAUUGAUAUGAUCUAUUGUAGAUAAAAUUUUCCUUUGAUUCUAUUUUGUUCGUUUGUUGUUGCAGUAUUAGAUUAGAUUCAUAAGUUCAAUUGGGGUCGUAUGUGGUAUUAUACUAUGUUGUUGGUUAGUAUUGUUUGUUUCAUUUUAGGGUGGAUAAUAUGGUGAAGCCUGCACAAGUAUGUAUGCAAGCUCUAACUCAUUUCAAUAGAGAAAGUGCUCUCUAUAUUGAACUCCAUGCUGAGGAAGGAUGAAGCAAUUGACCAUUUUGCUAGUGGGCUUAAAAGUAAGCUCUGGGUUUUGCACAUACUCCUUACCUCGCAGGAUGAUUUUUAAUCCGCAAGUGACACAUACUUAAGGCAUUUGGUCCCACGUUACAAUUCUGGCGUUUUAAACAAGAUGAGGCGAACCUUAGGAUUCCAUCAAUUGUUUGCAGAGAUGGGUAAAAGCUCAUUGCUGUUGUUUGUCUCAUGUUCAACAAGAGAUCCAUAUUUUUGCCUCGCCAAGUGUAUCUCCAAUUCUCAUUUAAUGGGGAAAUGUGUGUUCAAUAUAUAUGUGUGUUUAACUUCCCAAAAGAUUUUUUCUCUUACUUUUUUUCGCUUCUUGGAGCAUGAUAUUUGAGGGUGUCAAAAGUGCAUCAAGUUGUAUAAAAAAGUGUCAAAAGUGAUAUUUGAGGGUGUCAUAAUGACUUUCAUUGUAUCUUGGUUUGAAAAUGAAUAUUCAUGAUUUUUUUUGAA